AUUACUGUGAUAAAUAAAACUUUAGUCAUCAUUUAUUUACAUACUUAUUCAUUUAACAGAAUUUAGGAUUCACUUUCUUUCUGCUAAAGUGGAGAUUCAACUUGUUUCAGAGACUGAGGUCAUGGAAUGGUGGUUUUGUGAGCAUCUCCAAACUUAACUUUGGUUAAUGGCUAUGAACCAGUGGCACCUAUUAACAGUUCAUACCUUUUACACCUUAUUUCUAGAUUACCAAGAUUGACCUGGAAAUUCUCAACAUGGGAAAAAAAAUGAAGCCUCAGACCCAAAUCUUCUAACAUUUAAAUCAUCUCAUAGAUCCUCAAGAACUUGAAGCAAUUGGAACAAAAGUCUGUUCAUAUGAUAAAGAAGAGGAAUUCUUUUCUGAAGAACUUGUGCCUAUUGACUCUUUUCCCGUCCCUAUGCAUGCUUGAGAAGAAAGCACCUCCUUCUCCACCACAGCUGCACUUUCAAGUACUGAAAGAGUGAAACUGCAUCACCCCAAGCCCUCUUCUCUCCAGGUUGAAAAAACUCCAUUUCUCUGAUUUUCUUCUGAGGGAUUUUUUCACAUGCUGUUCCACUAUCCCACUGUUUUACUCAGGAAUCUACAGUACCUACAGUAACGGAUUGAACAACAUUGCUUCUGAAUAUGCAUACUUAGAAAGUAAAGAAUAAUCACUUCAAAGCC
Molecule: non-coding RNA, 682 nt
Organism: Taeniopygia guttata (zebra finch)
Lineage: Eukaryota; Metazoa; Chordata; Aves; Passeriformes; Estrildidae
Source: RefSeq, a predicted model, not a curated record